GCUGGGUGCAGUGGUGCACACCCGUAAUCCCAGCUUCUCAGAAGGCUGAGAUAGGAGAAUCACAAGUUGGAGCCAAGCCUGGGCAACUUUCUGAGAACCUGUCUCAA
RNAcentral lists this small RNA (107 nucleotides) under Marmota monax (woodchuck). The record is from RNAcentral. Lineage: Eukaryota; Metazoa; Chordata; Mammalia; Rodentia; Sciuridae.